ACAGGCAUCUUACACUUUUUGGACAAGACAGAGAGAAGAUAUUGUUGUCUGUUGGUCUGCACAGUUUGCUCUGGUGUCUUAAGAGGACUGAAGAGGUAGCUGAAAGCAUAGGCAUCAGUGGGGUUCAUAAUAUUCUCAUACGAUGGCAGUAAGUCAUUUCACAUG
Long non-coding RNA from Amphimedon queenslandica, 165 nucleotides. RefSeq lists it as uncharacterized. The record is from RefSeq and is a predicted model, not a curated record. The transcript is spliced from 3 exons. NCBI's taxonomy places the organism in Eukaryota, Metazoa, Porifera, Demospongiae, Haplosclerida, Niphatidae.